Molecule: ribosomal RNA, 836 nt
Filed under: Escherichia coli
Lineage: Bacteria; Pseudomonadati; Pseudomonadota; Gammaproteobacteria; Enterobacterales; Enterobacteriaceae
Also listed under: 1 other name
Description: partial 23S ribosomal RNA
Rfam family: Bacterial large subunit ribosomal RNA
Source: RNAcentral
AGACCCCGUGAACCUUUACUAUAGCUUGACACUGAACAUUGAGCCUUGAUGUGUAGGAUAGGUGGGAGGCUUUGAAGUGUGGACGCCAGUCUGCAUGGAGCCGACCUUGAAAUACCACCCUUUAAUGUUUGAUGUUCUAACGUUGACCCGUAAUCCGGGUUGCGGACAGUGUCUGGUGGGUAGUUUGACUGGGGCGGUCUCCUCCUAAAGAGUAACGGAGGAGCACGAAGGUUGGCUAAUCCUGGUCGGACAUCAGGAGGUUAGUGCAAUGGCAUAAGCCAGCUUGACUGCGAGCGUGACGGCGCGAGCAGGUGCGAAAGCAGGUCAUAGUGAUCCGGUGGUUCUGAAUGGAAGGGCCAUCGCUCAACGGAUAAAAGGUACUCCGGGGAUAACAGGCUGAUACCGCCCAAGAGUUCAUAUCGACGGCGGUGUUUGGCACCUCGAUGUCGGCUCAUCACAUCCUGGGGCUGAAGUAGGUCCCAAGGGUAUGGCUGUUCGCCAUUUAAAGUGGUACGCGAGCUGGGUUUAGAACGUCGUGAGACAGUUCGGUCCCUAUCUGCCGUGGGCGCUGGAGAACUGAGGGGGGCUGCUCCUAGUACGAGAGGACCGGAGUGGACGCAUCACUGGUGUUCGGGUUGUCAUGCCAAUGGCACUGCCCGGUAGCUAAAUGCGGAAGAGAUAAGUGCUGAAAGCAUCUAAGCACGAAACUUGCCCCGAGAUGAGUUCUCCCUGACUCCUUGAGAGUCCUGAAGGAACGUUGAAGACGACGACGUUGAUAGGCCGGGUGUGUAAGCGCAGCGAUGCGUUGAGCUAACCGGUACUAAUGAACCGUGAGG